GAUGAACGCUGGCGGCGUGCCUAAUACAUGCAAGUCGAGCGAACAGACGAGGAGCUUGCUCCUCUGACGUUAGCGGCGGACGGGUGAGUAACACGUGGAUAACCUACCUAUAAGACUGGGAUAACUUCGGGAAACCGGAGCUAAUACCGGAUAAUAUAUUGAACCGCAUGGUUCAAUAGUGGAAGACGGUUUUGCUGUCACUUAUAGAUGGAUCCGCGCCGCAUUAGCUAGUUGGUAAGGUAACGGCUUACCAAGGCAACGAUGCGUAGCCGACCUGAGAGGGUGAUCGGCCACACUGGAACUGAGACACGGUCCAGACUCCUGCGGGAGGCAGCAGUAGGGAAUCUUCCGCAAUGGGCGAAAGCUUGACGGAGCAACGCCGCGUGAGUGAUGAAGGUCUUCGGAUCGUAAAACUCUGUUAUUAGGGAAGAACAAAUGUGUAAGUAACUAUGCACGUCUUGACGGUACCUAAUCAGAAAGCCACGGCUAACUACGUG
This 497-nucleotide ribosomal RNA is filed under the name uncultured bacterium. RNAcentral's name for it is "partial 16S ribosomal RNA". It matches the Rfam family "Bacterial small subunit ribosomal RNA", at positions 28 to 507 of the family's 1533-position model. The record is from RNAcentral.